ACUCCUACGGGAGGCAGCAGUGGGGAAUUUUCCGCAAUGGGCGCAAGCCUGACGGAGCAAGACCGCGUGAGGGAGGAAGGCUCUUGGGUUGUAAACCUCUUUUAUCAGGGAAGAAGAUCUGACGGUACCUGAUGAAUCAGCAUCGGCUAACUCCGUGCCAGCAGCCGCGGUAAUACGGAGGAUGCAAGCGUUAUCCGGAUUUAUUGGGCGUAAAGCGUCCGCAGGUGGUUUUUCAAGUCUGCUGUUAAAGCGCAGAGCUUAACUCUGUAACGGCGGUGGAAACUGAGAGACUAGAGUAUGGUAGGGGUUGCGGGAAUUCCCAGUGUAGCGGUGAAAUGCGUAGAUAUUGGGAAGAACACCAGCGGCGAAAGCGCGCAACUGGGCCAUUACUGACACUCAUGGACGAAAGCUAGGGGAGCGAAAGGGAUUAGAUACCCCUGUAGUCCUAGCUGUAAACGAUGGGUACUAGGUGUUGACCGUAUCGACCCGGUCAGUGC
This 497-nucleotide ribosomal RNA is filed under the name uncultured bacterium. RNAcentral's name for it is "bacterial SSU rRNA". It matches the Rfam family "Bacterial small subunit ribosomal RNA", at positions 335 to 846 of the family's 1533-position model. The record is from RNAcentral.